CCUACGGGUGGCAGCAGUGGGGAAUAUUGCACAAUGGGGGAAACCCUGAUGCAGCGACGCCGCGUGAGUGAAGAAGUAAUUCGUUAUGGAAAGCUCUAUCAGCGGGGAAGAAAAUGACGGUACCUGAGUAAGAAGCCCCGGCUAACUACGUGCAAGCAGCCGCGGUAAUACGUAGGGGGCAAGCGUUAUCCGGAUUUACUGGGUGUAAAGGGGGCGUAGACGGCAGUGCAGGUCUGUAGUGAAAGGCUGGGGCUCAACCCCCGCACUGCUCUGGAAACUGUACGGCUGGAGUGCAGGAUAGGUAAGUGGAAUUCGUAGUGUAGCGGUGAAAUGCGUAGAUAUUAGGAGGAACGCCAGUGGCGAAGGCGGCUUACUGCACUGUAACUGACGUUGAGGCUCGAAGGCGCGGGGAGCAAACAGGAUUAGAUACCCGAGUAGUC
This 440-nucleotide ribosomal RNA is filed under the name uncultured bacterium. RNAcentral describes it as "partial 16S ribosomal RNA". It matches the Rfam family "Bacterial small subunit ribosomal RNA", at positions 338 to 795 of the family's 1533-position model. The record is from RNAcentral.